AGCACUUAAUGUUUUAUCAAAAGUCACAAACUUAGGGUUUAGAGUUUAGGGUUUAGGGUUUAGAAUUUAGGGUUUAGAGUUUAGAGUUUAGGGUUUAGGGUUUAGGGUUUAGGGUUUAGAGUUGAGAAAUGAGGUUUUGGGGAUAAUAUUUCAAAUUUUAAGAAAUAAAAAAAUUAAAAUUUUCAAAAGAUAAACUUAGAAAUGUGCUAUUUUGGUCAUUUUAGUUUUUGAGUGCUAUUUUUGUGAUAUAAACUUAGAAAUGUGCUAUUUUGGAGAUUUGCCUUAUAUCAUACGCAGCUAACCUUGAAUAUACUCCCAACGAGCGCUACCCAUACUUAAAUGAAGAAGGAAGCGAAGGAGAAGCUCAAGACGUCUCUUAAAUUCACCAAUAUUUGACGUUUCAAUGAACUCCAUCAAAC
Molecule: long non-coding RNA, 419 nt
Filed under: Brassica napus (rape)
Lineage: Eukaryota; Viridiplantae; Streptophyta; Magnoliopsida; Brassicales; Brassicaceae
Description: long non-coding RNA (BNAP_LNC020484)
Source: RNAcentral